Molecule: ribosomal RNA, 170 nt
Filed under: Juncus bufonius
Lineage: Eukaryota; Viridiplantae; Streptophyta; Magnoliopsida; Poales; Juncaceae
Description: 5.8S ribosomal RNA
Rfam family: 5.8S ribosomal RNA
About the family: 5.8S ribosomal RNA (5.8S rRNA) is a component of the large subunit of the eukaryotic ribosome. It is transcribed by RNA polymerase I as part of the 45S precursor that also contains 18S and 28S rRNA.
Source: RNAcentral
UAUGAUGGAAUGACUCUCGGCAACGGAUAUCUCGGCUCUCGCAUCGAUGAAGAACGCAGCGAAAUGCGAUACGUGGUGUGAAUUGCAGAAUCCCGUGAACCAUCGAGUUUUUGAACGCAAGUUGCGCCCGAGGCCAUCUGGUUGAGGGCACGCCUGCCUGGGCGUCAGUU